AUAUUUGCCAUCAGUUUUGGUACACCUUAAAAAGUGCUUAAAAGGGAAUCAGGUGUAAAUCCUGAACAGACCCGCUGCUGUAAACUUCAUAAAAAAUCUUAGCAAUAAAGUCACUGUUACUCUUGUAAUGGGAAGGCGCAAAAGAGAAGUAAGUCAGAAGACCUGCCAGAAGUAUAUGUUUGAU
RNAcentral lists this non-coding RNA (184 nucleotides) under Elizabethkingia anophelis. The record is from RNAcentral. Lineage: Bacteria; Pseudomonadati; Bacteroidota; Flavobacteriia; Flavobacteriales; Weeksellaceae.